AUUGAACGCUGGCGGCAUGCCUUACACAUGCAAGUCGAACGGCAGCACGGGAGCAAUCCUGGUGGCGAGUGGCGAACGGGUGAGUAAUAUAUCGGAACGUGCCCAGUCGUGGGGGAUAACGUAGCGAAAGCUACGCUAAUACCGCAUACGAUCUACGGAUGAAAGCGGGGGAUCGCAAGACCUCGCGCGAUUGGAGCGGCCGAUAUCAGAUUAGGUAGUUGGUGAGGUAAAGGCUCACCAAGCCGACGAUCUGUAGCUGGUCUGAGAGGACGACCAGCCACACUGGAACUGAGACACGGCCCAGACUCCUACGGGAGGCAGCAGUGGGGAAUAUUGGACAAUGGGCGAAAGCCUGAUCCAGCAAUGCCGCGUGAGUGAUGAAGGCCUUAGGGUUGUAAAGCUCUCUUACCAGGGAUGAUAAUGACAGUACCUGGAGAAUAAG
RNAcentral lists this ribosomal RNA (442 nucleotides) under uncultured bacterium. RNAcentral's name for it is "bacterial SSU rRNA". It matches the Rfam family "Bacterial small subunit ribosomal RNA", at positions 30 to 490 of the family's 1533-position model. The record is from RNAcentral.